GACAGAGGUGCCGAGCGUUAGGCGGAAUCACUGGGCUUAAAGCGUGUGUAGGCGGACUUCUAAGUACCUUGUGAAAUCCCACGGCUUAACCGUGGAACUGCUUGGUAUACUGGUCGUCUUGAGCCAUCUAGGGGCUGUCGGAACAAAUGGUGGAGCGGUGAAAUGCGUAGAUAUCAUUUGGAACGCCAAAGGUGAAAAUAGACAGCUGGGGAUGUGCUGACGCUGAGACACGAAAGCCAGGGGAGCGAACGGG
Molecule: ribosomal RNA, 253 nt
Filed under: uncultured bacterium
Lineage: Bacteria
Description: partial 16S ribosomal RNA
Rfam family: Bacterial small subunit ribosomal RNA
Source: RNAcentral